AUACGUAGGGAGCGAGCGUUGUCCGGAAUUACUGGGCGUAAAGGGCGCGUAGGCGGCGCUUCAAGUCGUCUGUCAAAUGGGAGGGCUUAACCCUUUUUCGCAGACGAAACUGGAGAGCUUGAGAAGCAGAGAGGCAAACAGAAUUCCUGGUGUAGCGGUGAAAUGCGUAGAUAUCAGGAAGAAUACCAGUGGCGAAGGCGGUUUUCUGGCUGCAUACUGACGCUGAAGCGCGAAAGCCAGGGGAGCAAACGGGAUUAGAUACCCCGGUAGUCCUGGCAGUAAACGAUGUAUGCUGGGUGUGAGACUAGCGAUAGUUUCGUGCCGAAGUUAACGCGAUAAGCAUACCGCCUGGGGAGUACGAUCGCAAGAUUGAAACUCAAAUGAAUUGGCGGGG
Molecule: ribosomal RNA, 394 nt
Filed under: uncultured bacterium
Lineage: Bacteria
Description: partial 16S ribosomal RNA
Rfam family: Bacterial small subunit ribosomal RNA
Source: RNAcentral